AGAGUUUGAUCCUGGCUCAGGACGAACGCUGGCGGCGUGCUUAACACACGCAAGUCGAACGGAAAGGCCCUUCGGGGUACUCGAGUGGCGAACGGGUGAGUAACACGUGGGUGAUCUGCCCUGCACUUUGGGAUAAGCCUGGGAAACUGGGUCUAAUACCGAAUAUGACCAUGCGCCUCCUGGUGUGUGGUGGAAAGCUUUUGCGGUGUGGGAUGGGCCCGCGGCCUAUCAGCUUGUUGGUGGGGUAAUGGCCUACCAAGGCGACGACGGGUAGCCGGCCUGAGAGGGUGACCGGCCACACUGGGACUGAGUUACGGCCCAGACUCCUACGGGAGGCAGCAGUGGGGAAUAUUGCACAAUGGGCGCAAGCCUGAUGCAGCGACGCCGCGUGAGGGAUGACGGCCUUCGGGUUGUAAACCUCUUUCAGCACAGACGAAGCGCAAGUGACGGUAUGUGCAGAAGAAGGACCGGCCAACUACGUGCCAGCAGCCGCGGUAAUACGUAGGGUCCGAGCGUUGUCCGGAAUUACUGGGCGUAAAGAGCUCGUAGGUGGUUUGUCGCGUUGUUCGUGAAAACUCACAGCUUAACUGUGGGCGUGCGGGCGAUACGGGCAGACUUGAGUACUGCAGGGGAGACUGGAAUUCCUGGUGUAGCGGUGGAAUGCGCAGAUAUCAGGAGGAACACCGGUGGCGAAGGCGGGUCUCUGGGCAGUAACUGACGCUGAGGAGCGAAAGGGUGGGGAGCGAACAGGAUUAGAUACCCCGGUAGUCC
RNAcentral lists this ribosomal RNA (771 nucleotides) under uncultured bacterium. RNAcentral's name for it is "bacterial SSU rRNA". It matches the Rfam family "Bacterial small subunit ribosomal RNA", at positions 8 to 796 of the family's 1533-position model. The record is from RNAcentral.